UGGGGAAUAUUGCACAAUGGGCGCAAGCCUGAUGCAGCAACGCCGCGUGAGGGAUGACGGCCUUCGGGUUGUAAACCUCUUUUAGCAGGGAAGAAGCGAAAGUGACGGUACCUGCAGAAAAAGCGCCGGCUAACUACGUGCCAGCAGCCGCGGUAAUACGUAGGGCGCAAGCGUUAUCCGGAAUUAUUGGGCGUAAAGAGCUCGUAGGCGGUUUGUCGCGUCUGCUGUGAAAUCCCGAGGCUCAACCUCGGGUCUGCAGUGGGUACGGGCAGACUAGAGUGCGGUAGGGGAGAUUGGAAUUCCUGGUGUAGCGGUGGAAUGCGCAGAUAUCAGGAGGAACACCGAUGGCGAAGGCAGAUCUCUGGGCCGUAACUGACGCUGAGGAGCGAAAGGGUGGGGAGCAAACAGGCUUAGAUACCCUGGUAGUCCACCCGUAAACGUUGGAACUAGUUGUGGGGUCCAUUCCACGGAUUCCGUGACGCAGCUAACGCAUUAAGUUCACCGCCUGGGGAGUACGGCCGCAAGGCUAAAACUCAAAUGAAUUGACGGGGUCAUAGCUGUUU
Molecule: ribosomal RNA, 563 nt
Filed under: uncultured bacterium
Lineage: Bacteria
Description: partial 16S ribosomal RNA
Rfam family: Bacterial small subunit ribosomal RNA
Source: RNAcentral